Molecule: non-coding RNA, 46 nt
Organism: Phlebotomus papatasi
Lineage: Eukaryota; Metazoa; Arthropoda; Insecta; Diptera; Psychodidae
Source: Rfam
ACAAAGGCCCUUCUCAGGGCCACUCCUCAAUAUUAUUUCGAUUAAU